Molecule: transfer RNA, 72 nt
Filed under: Camelus ferus (Wild Bactrian camel)
Lineage: Eukaryota; Metazoa; Chordata; Mammalia; Artiodactyla; Camelidae
Rfam family: tRNA
About the family: Transfer RNA (tRNA) molecules are approximately 80 nucleotides in length. Their secondary structure includes four short double-helical elements and three loops (D, anti-codon, and T loops).
Source: Rfam by way of RNAcentral
GUGGGUGUAGCUCAGUGGUAGAGCAUGUACUUAGCAUACAUGAGGUCCUGGGUUCAAUCCCCAGUCCCUCCA